UUUUAUUACAUUUUCCAAGCGCCCUGGAAGUUAUUAGGGCCAUGUAACCAGAUUGAAGCCAGUGAAAUGGUAUUGGAUUCCAAGUCACCCAUCUAAACUCCUGCAAGCACCAACAGCACAGUCUGCCCUUAAGGCCAUAAAGUGAGUGGUUUUGCUCCACCAUGCAUUUCUGCCAUGACAUGCCAUGGGCCCAAGGGCAACAGGGCCAACCAAUCAUCAACUGAAACCUCCAAAACUGUGAGCCAAAAUAAACCUUUUCUCUUUAUAACUUGAUUACCUUGGGAAUUUGUUAUAAUGCUUGAAAGUUGACCAGCACACCUUAUAAAACAGAGAAAAUUUGUAAAUAAACACACAGAGAAGGAAGAAAAUGUGAAGAGACAAUAGGGAGAAAUCUUCCAUCUACAAGCCAAGGAAAUGUCUUGUGGAAACAGAUCCUUUUCUCACAGCCCUCAGAAGGAACCAACUCUUCUAGCAACUUGAUUUGGAUUUUCAGCAUCCAGAACUGUGAGACAAAACACUUGUUUUUUAACCAGCCCAGUCUG
Molecule: long non-coding RNA, 542 nt
Organism: Heterocephalus glaber (naked mole-rat)
Lineage: Eukaryota; Metazoa; Chordata; Mammalia; Rodentia; Bathyergidae
Source: Ensembl